Molecule: ribosomal RNA, 301 nt
Filed under: uncultured bacterium
Lineage: Bacteria
Description: partial 16S ribosomal RNA
Rfam family: Bacterial small subunit ribosomal RNA
Source: RNAcentral
CAGCAGCCACGGUAAUACGGAGGGAGCUAGCGUUGUUCGGAAUUACUGGGCGUAAAGCGCGCGUAGGCGGUUUUUUAAGUCAGAGGUGAAAGCCCAGUGCUCAACACUGGAACUGCCUUUGAAACUGGAAAACUUGAAUCUUGGAGAGGUCAGUGGAAUUCCGAGUGUAGAGGUGAAAUUCGUAGAUAUUCGGAAGAACACCAGUGGCGAAGGCGACUGACUGGACAAGUAUUGACGCUGAGGUGCGAAAGCGUGGGGAGCAAACAGGAUUAGAUACCCCCGUAGUCCCUGUCUCUUAUAC